RNAcentral lists this long non-coding RNA (835 nucleotides) under Coturnix japonica (Japanese quail). Its description in RNAcentral is "lncRNA (ENSCJPG00005019726.1)". Lineage: Eukaryota; Metazoa; Chordata; Aves; Galliformes; Phasianidae. The record is from RNAcentral.
AGUUAAAAAGCUGUUGGGACUGGGGGAGGGAGAAAAGAGGAGGAGAGAGAAUUAGCGCCAGCUGGAUGUGAAAUCAAUUUGGCAUUUCAAAACAACAAAAAUAUUCUUUUCCCAUUCAUUUGAUCUGGCACAUCAGCACUCAGUUAGCGUGCUGGAAAGGAAACACCAGCAGGGACUGAAUUGUCACUCAGCCCCCUGGAAUAAGGACAGUGCUGUGGGAUGGGGCAGCAGGCAGAGCAGUACUGGGAAGGAUGCUCAUCCAAUCUAACCUCUGUCUCUCCCCAAAGGAAUGGAAUGAGCUAUUUAGGCUUGGGAGGUGGUGGGUACAGAAUCAUUGGGUAUGGACUGGCUGUUGUUGUCUAGGUAUGGAAACCCUAAGAAGUGUCCACUUGAGAUAAGUGAGGCUCAGGGACAGCCUUCAGAUUUGGGCAGUGCCUGGAUGGCUUGGAUGGAAGGUCUGUGGUGGGUGAGGAAGAGCUGUAAGCAAGGGGAGCAAACCUUGAGGUUGCAUGAAUUUCAUUCCCACCCUGUCUUCUCCCAUAGGAAGAAAACAAAGCUGGUAAACGAGCAUUUCACUCCGAGGAGAAACACGGCUGUGAAGGGCAGAUUUGACUCUGGGUUUCGGCAGGCUGUUCUCCAGCCAUCUUCCAUUCAUGCUCCAGACAUCACUGGGAACAAGAGCUAAACAGUUCCUGGGCUGUUUCAUAACGGAGAAAUGAGCCUCUGUGAGAGGUAAGACACUUCCCUUUCUUUGCUUGAAACAUCAUGAACUUUCAAACUUGGCAAGGCUCUUUCGAGUUCGAUCUAAUAAUAAACCCAAACCUUCUAUCGUACA